CGGGUGGUAAUGCCGGAUGCUCCGGUUGGAUGCAUGUCCUUCCGGGAAAGAUUCUAUCGGUAUGGGAUGGGGUCGCGUCCUAUCAGCUUGAUGGCGGGGUAACGGCCCACCAUGGCUUCGACGGGUAGCCGGCCUGAGAGGGCGACCGGCCACAUUGGGACUGAGAUACGGCCCAGACUCCUACGGGAGGCAGCAGUGGGGAAUAUUGCACAAUGGGCGCAAGCCUGAUGCAGCGACGCCGCGUGCGGGAUGGAGGCCUUCGGGUUGUAAACCGCUUUUGAUCGGGAGCAAGCCCUUCGGGGUGAGUGUACCUUUCGAAUAAGCACCGGCUAACUACGUGCCAGCAGCCGCGGUAAUACGUAGGGUGCAAGCGUUAUCCGGAAUUAUUGGGCGUAAAGGGCUCGUAGGCGGUUCGUCGCGUCCGGUGUGAAAGCCCAUCGCUUAACGGUGGGUCUGCGCCGGGUACGGGCGGGCUGGAGUGCGGUAGGGGAGACUGGAAUUCCCGGUGUAACGGUGGAAUGUGUAGAUA
RNAcentral lists this ribosomal RNA (529 nucleotides) under Bifidobacterium dentium. RNAcentral's name for it is "bacterial SSU rRNA". It matches the Rfam family "Bacterial small subunit ribosomal RNA", at positions 157 to 696 of the family's 1533-position model. The record is from RNAcentral. Lineage: Bacteria; Bacillati; Actinomycetota; Actinomycetes; Bifidobacteriales; Bifidobacteriaceae.